AAAAUGAUUUUAAGAGAUAAUUAUCCCUCAAAUGCUAUCCUCAGAUAUGGCUUUGUAAGUAAAAUAACAAUGUGAAGUAAAAUCCAUGCUAGAAAACAUAUAUCAAAAUGUUUUAAUUCCCAAAUUAUAAUGUACCUAACAACUGUGAUUUUAUUGUUUUCUCAUCCUAAUCAUAAGUACAUAAAAACCAUUACAGUAAUACAUAUUCUUGAGACUUCAAAUAUUCCAAUUAAAAGAUUUUUUUU
Molecule: non-coding RNA, 245 nt
Organism: Cinara cedri
Lineage: Eukaryota; Metazoa; Arthropoda; Insecta; Hemiptera; Aphididae
Source: the annotation of a GenBank genome assembly